GAUUUCUGGCUUGUUCAUACCCUGCCCGCCGUUUUUAACGGAUGCGUGCCGGAGUACGACGGCCAUUCUUCUAGAAAUCGUAGCUACCCUUAACUGGGCCUGUUACGCGAUCUAGAUCUUUUACUUUGAAAAAAUUAGAGUGUUUAAAGCAGGCAUUUGCUCUGAAUACAUUAGCAUGGAAUAAUAAUUUAGGACUUUGGUUCUAUUUUGUUGGUUUCUAGGACUGAAGUAAUGAUUGAUAGGGAUAGUUGGGGGUGCUAGUAUUCAGCGGCCAGAGGUGAAAUUCUUGGAUUCGCUGAAGACUAACUUAUGCGAAAGCAUU
This 322-nucleotide ribosomal RNA is filed under the name Ventricleftida sp. RNAcentral describes it as "SSU rRNA". The stretch from base 63 to 322 matches the Rfam family "Eukaryotic small subunit ribosomal RNA", at positions 694 to 955 of the family's 1831-position model. Lineage: Eukaryota; Cercozoa; Thecofilosea; Ventricleftida. The record is from RNAcentral.